RNAcentral lists this ribosomal RNA (404 nucleotides) under uncultured bacterium. RNAcentral describes it as "bacterial SSU rRNA". It matches the Rfam family "Bacterial small subunit ribosomal RNA", at positions 355 to 776 of the family's 1533-position model. The record is from RNAcentral.
UGGGGAAUAUUGGGCAAUGGGCGCAAGCCUGACCCAGCAACGCCGCGUGAAGGAAGAAGGUCUUCGGAUUGUAAACUUUUGUCUUAUGGGACGAUAAUGACGGUACCAUAGGAGGAAGCCACGACUAACUACGUGCCAGCAGUCGCGGUAAUACGUAGGUGGCGAGCGUUAUCCGGAAUUAUUGGGUGUAAAGGGUGCGUAGGCGGGGAGUAAAGUCAGAUGUGAAAGGCGUGUGCUCAACAUACGGAUUGCAUUUGAAACUUACUUUCUUGAGUGAAGUAGAGGCAAGCGGAAUUCCCAGUGUAGCGGUGAAAUGCGUAGAUAUUGGGAGGAACACCAGUGGCGAAGGCGGCUUGCUGGGCUUUUACUGACGCUGAGGCACGAAAGUGUGGGGAGCAAACAGG